UCUUUAAGUCUAAACAAGACUUUGUAGACUCCCAGAGAAUACUCUAAUUAAAACCAGAGCUAUCCCCUCAUUGUCUGUUUUCCUGCCUCAUUUACUCCAGAUUUUUUUGACUUUGACUUUGUUUCGGUUUUUCUAGUUUGAAAACUUAUUCCCCAUUGGUGCCAGUGUGGUCUCUGUCGGUAAAACAUGACAAAGGAUUAGGAGGUCAUGAGAAGACAAGACUGCCACUUGGGCUGGGAGUUGGACCUGGGCAGUCAAGAGGAUCCUCAUUCCCAUCUCAGUCUCUGGUGCAGAAGUCUUUUUUUAACGUGCAGAAGUCUGCACCUUUAUUUUCCUAGAGAUGCUAUGAACUCCUUACAUCUGAGCUUGUGUUCAAGAGACAAGACAACAGAGGGGAAGAAAACCUGCUAA
RNAcentral lists this long non-coding RNA (411 nucleotides) under Mustela putorius furo (domestic ferret). Its description in RNAcentral is "lncRNA (ENSMPUG00000026237.1)". The record is from RNAcentral. Lineage: Eukaryota; Metazoa; Chordata; Mammalia; Carnivora; Mustelidae.